CACAGCCAAAGGACAGCAAGCUCCAUCGUGAUGGUGAUGAAAAAGUCUGAGGAUCUUACUUCAUCUUCCCCGUGACUCGUUGAGAGUACUUCAUGAUAUGCGUUCCCCCUUGAAGGUUAUUGAAGCUGCGCGACUUCAAAGCAUUUGACAGACAAAUUCUACAUUGCAUGAUAAACACACUCCUCUCUUGGAUAAAAACAUUCGGUGAAGCCGUACGCGCAGAGUAUUUUUCUUUGGGGCAUUUCUGCUUUAUUUCCCCCCCCCCCCCCCCCCCCCCCCUUUCCUCUCAUUGCCAAGUAUGGAGGCCCAGCAAAUCAAACACAUUCAAGCGUCAUUAUUAGAGAGUGGGCCCUGGAGUUUGGCCCGGCGACGAGCUCUGCUCUCUAAUGAAGGUGAGCCUUUCAUGCAAAUGAAAGUGGAGCUCAUCUGGAAGGUGCUGUCUCAGGAAUCAUCUCAUCAUGAAUGCCACCUGAUCAGAAGUAAUGAGGAGCCUUGAAGAGGUGUCCAUUGACAGUGGAUUAAGUUAUGGUGUCAAGUCAAACUCCAGUCUUCUGGCCUCCCUUGGCUCUACCUGGCUGUUGAGGUCCGGAGUCCCUGUCUGGUCCCGAACAGGCCCCAGCUGCCUCGGAUGUGAGCCUGCCCUCACCGCAGCCUCCAUCCUCUGCCAAAAACAAGCACAUAUAUUCCCUUAAUCUCCUGCAG
Molecule: long non-coding RNA, 702 nt
Filed under: Scleropages formosus (Asian bonytongue)
Lineage: Eukaryota; Metazoa; Chordata; Actinopteri; Osteoglossiformes; Osteoglossidae
Description: lncRNA (ENSSFOG00015024670.1)
Source: RNAcentral